Molecule: long non-coding RNA, 761 nt
Filed under: Mus caroli (Ryukyu mouse)
Lineage: Eukaryota; Metazoa; Chordata; Mammalia; Rodentia; Muridae
Description: lncRNA (MGP_CAROLIEiJ_G0006706.1)
Source: RNAcentral
CCUGGCCCACGCGUGUCCCCGGCAUCAGUGUCUCGGCUCUGGUCCAGGACGAAGACUUCUGAAAGCAAGCCAAGGAGAAUCGCAGUUCUUACCGGAGGGAGCCCCUGACUGCCCGGUGGAAGGAGGUGGUUUAGAAGACAGUGAGCUACUGUUCCCUGGUUUCCUGAGGUCUGUUUCCAUUGAGAUGCAAAGGACACAGAGCUCACAGGUGCUCCAGCAGUGCUGGUGUCAUGUUUGUAGGAAGCUGUCUAUGGACUACAGUAUUUCCCAGUGCCAGUCUGCAGACACUGCACGCCUCCCAAUAGAACAUUUCUUCCUGCGCCAAUCUAUCAGUGCAGCUCAGACUCUGGAAGCAAAUGACCUCUCUUGGCAGAGCCUGCACUGUAUGGGGAACAUCAGAUUUGUGUAAAGAAGAUCACCUGUCUCUUCUCAGCUGUGCACUGUAGAGAAGGUGCUGCAAAGGCCACAGUUACUCAGGAAAAUUUGGGGCUGUUUUCUAGGUUCAAGAGAGACUGGACAUCAAAGCUGCACUGGGACAUGUGGACCCCUUGAUCCACUUUGGCCAUUCCACCUCAGCUCAGAAUUACUCACUAGUGUCAGAGUGAUUAAUUUCACUUUCAGUGCCUUCCUUCCCGAGUGGAGUGCUUCUGUAGAGACUCCUAAUUCAGUGAAACCUGUCCAGGGGAUCAUCCCUGCUAGACAGACAGCUGCGAGAGGCCAGUGGCUUCCCAGCAUGGAUUUCAGAUUAUGGCCAAUCAAGA